UAAGAGUUUUGANCCUGGCUCAGGAUGAACGCUGGCGGCGUGCCUAAUACAUGCAAGUCGAGCGAAUGGAUUAAGAGCUUGCUCUUAUGAAGUUAGCGGCGGACGGGUGAGUAACACGUGGGUAACCUGCCCAUAAGACUGGGAUAACUCCGGGAAACCGGGGCUAAUACCGGAUAACAUUUUGAACCGCAUGGUUCGAAAUUGAAAGGCGGCUUCGGCUGUCACUUAUGGAUGGACCCGCGUCGCAUUAGCUAGUUGGUGAGGUAACGGCUCACCAAGGCAACGAUGCGUAGCCGACCUGAGAGGGUGAUCGGCCACACUGGGACUGAGACACGGCCCAGACUCCUACGGGAGGCAGCAGUAGGGAAUCUUCCGCAAUGGACGAAAGUCUGACGGAGCAACGCCGCGUGAGUGAUGAAGGCUUUCGGGUCGUAAAACUCUGUUGUUAGGGAAGAACAAGUGCUAGUUGAAUAAGCUGGCACCUGACGUAC
Molecule: ribosomal RNA, 491 nt
Filed under: Bacillus sp. IBA 33
Lineage: Bacteria; Bacillati; Bacillota; Bacilli; Caryophanales; Bacillaceae
Description: bacterial SSU rRNA
Rfam family: Bacterial small subunit ribosomal RNA
Source: RNAcentral